ACCAUCUUCAUAGAUGACAUAAUUUCAAUUGCAGAAAACCCCACGUGACAUACAGAAAUAAGACAAAAAAAAAAAAAACUUCUGGAAUAAGUGAAUAAUUCACCAAAGCUGAGGAUGCAAGACAAACAAAAAGUCAGUUUUAUUUUUACAUCGAAUGAGCAAAUGGCUCUCCCCAAAUUUUAAUGCCACUUACGUCUUUAGUGCCGUGCAAAACAUACACAGAACUUGUAGGUUAAAAACUACAAAACACAGAUGGAAAAAAGUUGGAGAAGAUCUAAAUAAGGAGAGACAACGCAUGCCAGUUGGAAGGCUCAACAGAGUAAAAAUGUUAAUUUCCCGGCAUUUGAAAAAUUUCUAUCCACAGGUGCCUACUGAGUCUUCUGUGGGGCCCUCCCAGCAGGAGGACAGGAGGAUUGUGCUGCAACCCAGCAAAGGUUUGUUUCCUCAUCAUAACCAAGACUUUUCACCAGAGCAGAACAUAAACUAUUCAUUCCAGGAACUCAUCCAUGGACCUUGUGGAGAUUGUGGCUUUGACAGUUUGUACUUCCCAGAAGAAAGGGAACUUGUAGAGGACGGUGACAUCCUGGGAACCUGUUAUAACAGGCAUGACCCAUUUCUGACAGCUGACAUUGGGCUAAAUCUUUGCAGAUGGUGUUGUGCAUCAGGUGAAACCUUGAACCUGAAAACAUGGUGGCCUGGAGACCAAGCCCACCCUCACACAAAAGAGGCUUGGGGUUCGAGGAAGCUUCUUUGCAAAGCCCAGGAAGAUCCCCUCUCUCCCUCCUGUGCACACACACUCACAACCCAGUUGGUUCACCCUUUCUCCAGGGUCCAACUAUUUAAAAACUCUGGGGUAAGACAGACCUUGGUCUUUUAGAAUGUUCAUAGACACCUGAGGGAACCGGGUGAAAAUGAAGGACCUCAAGCGUAGAUAACAAAGCAGAGACCUCUUGAGGCAGCUGUGACGUGAAUGAGUCACAGACAUUAAACAGUGAGAGGCCCAGCAAAGCCGAGGUGAGCAGCAGCCACUGAGGCUGGCCCAGCAGAGGGUGGCAGUCUGAGGAGGGAUCAGCAUAGCUCCUUCUGAGGACAGUAGAGUCUGAAGGCUAUGAGCCAUGGCCUCCAGUCAUACCCUGCUUGUGUAUCCACCACAGCUGCCCCUCUGAACCCCCAAGCCAUGUCUGCUUCUCUCAGGGAGUGUCCAGCAGAGGGAGGGAAGCCUUGGUGCUCAGCCUCAGGGGACAGAGGCAGCAGGCACAGCUGCUGCCUCUCCACUCAGCUCUGGCUUUCCCCAGGGGCUGGCUCUGCAAGACAGCCUCCCCCACAAGCUCACAGGACACAUGUGUGUCCUGCUGCUGCUCUGCUGAGGUGUGCUGUCCUCCUGGCUCCCUGCCAAGCCCCGUGCUGGCCCCUCGAGCGCUAUGGUUCAUGCUGUGGAAUCCCUGUUUCCCAGUUGGCCCAGCUGCAGCCAGACUCUCUGGAGCUGGACUCUGAAUGGAGAUGUUUAGGCAGGAGCUGCAGAAGUGUAAAGUCCAAGGUCUGUAUUCUCUUGGGGGCAAGAGACUGCAACAGGCUCCUUCCUGUGUCUCUUUUAGCAUCCCACCCCGCCUGACUCCUAGGAUCUGUUUCAGAUGUGAGCCUUGCCUGGUUUACCAUUGGGAGCAGCAGCCUACGGUGGCCUCAGCUUGGCCAAUUUUGAUAAUGAGCUGGAUUUUCUCACAGUCAGGCCUCUGUGCCAGCGGUGUCUCUGUUUCAAGUGCAUCUGGCUUGCUGUCACUGCAGACUGAGCAGAUGUGAUGGGAAGAGAGGAGGGGCUGAUAACAUUGUCUGGGGCUCUAACCGCCUCUAAGGCUCUGUUUGACAGCUCAAAAAUAGGCCCGUGGUAGGCUAAAAAUUUGGCCCUCAGAAAUAAAUCCCUGUCAACCCCCUGGAAUCUGUGAAUGUGUUUAACUUAUGGAUCUUGUGAAGAAAAGGAGUUUAUCCUGGAUUGUCUGGGUGUGACCUAAAUAUAGUCACGUAUUUUCUCCUCUGGAGGAGGCGGAGGGAGGACUGGGGAGAUGUGGCUAGUGGGAAAGAGGCCUACUGCUCAAGCAUAGAGACCUGAGUCCAAAUCCCCAGAAUUCAUAUAAAAAGCCAGAUGUGGUCACAUAUACCUGCAACUCUGUGCUGUGUGGAGUGGAAAAAGGGGGACGGCUGGCUUGAUGGCUGCCAGCCUAACCCCAGGUUCAGUGAGAGACCCCAACUUAAGGGAAUGAAGCAGAGUGUUGAUGAAGCAGGACAUUCAAUAUCCAAGUAUUCUCCAAGUGUGGACGUGUGCACCCACAUAGACAUGUGCAUGCAUAUCAUGCACGCGCGCGCACACACACACACACA
Molecule: non-coding RNA, 2373 nt
Organism: Rattus norvegicus (Norway rat)
Lineage: Eukaryota; Metazoa; Chordata; Mammalia; Rodentia; Muridae
Source: RefSeq, a predicted model, not a curated record